GAUCCUGGCUCAGGAUGAACGCUAGCGACAGGCUUAACACAUGCAAGUCGAGGGGCAGCGGGGGUAGCGAUACCCGCCGGCGACCGGCGCACGGGUGAGUAACNCGUAUGCAACUUGCCUAUCAGAGGGGGAUAACCCGGCGAAAGUCGGACUAAUACCGCAUGAAGCAGGGAUCCCGCAUGGGAAUAUUUGCUAAAGAUUCAUCGCUGAUAGAUGGGCAUGCGUUCCAUUAGG
RNAcentral lists this ribosomal RNA (234 nucleotides) under uncultured bacterium. RNAcentral's name for it is "partial 16S ribosomal RNA". It matches the Rfam family "Bacterial small subunit ribosomal RNA", at positions 15 to 245 of the family's 1533-position model. The record is from RNAcentral.